CCUACGGGAGGCAGCAGUGAGGAAUAUUGGUCAAUGGGAGAGAUCCUGAACCAGCCAAGCCGCGUGAGGGAAGACGGCCCUAUGGGUUGUAAACCUCUUUUGUCGGAGAACAAAACCCGGGACGUGUCCCGGGCUGCGUGUAUCCGAAGAAAAAGCAUCGGCUAACUCCGUGCCAGCAGCCGCGGUAAUACGGAGGAUGCGAGCGUUAUCCGGUUUUAUUGGGUUUAAAGGGUGCGUAGGCGGGCCGUUAAGUCUGCGGUAAAAUGUCGGGGCUCAACCCCGUGGGGCCGUUGAAACUGGCAGACUUGAGUUGGCGAGAAGUACGCGGAAUGCGCGGUGUAGCGGUGAAAUGCAUAGAUAUCGCGCAGAACUCCGAUUGCGAAGGCAGCGUACCGGCGCCAGACUGACGCUGAGGCACGAAAGCGUGGGGAUCGAACAGGAUUAGAUACCCCAGUAGUC
RNAcentral lists this ribosomal RNA (459 nucleotides) under uncultured bacterium. RNAcentral's name for it is "partial 16S ribosomal RNA". It matches the Rfam family "Bacterial small subunit ribosomal RNA", at positions 338 to 795 of the family's 1533-position model. The record is from RNAcentral.